CCAUCCCAUAUUUGUGGAGGAUUUUGUGGGGUUUUGAAUUUUAAAUUCAAAAUUCAAGUUCAUGUGCCAUUACAUGAUGAAGCUUGAUCUAAUCUAAACCAUUCAUCAUGUUGCCACUUUCCUCUUUCAAUUUUGAAAUUCCCAUGCCCCCAAACAGAUUAGAGGGUCACAUGGUGAUUUUGUGAUGAUUAAAUUCGAAAUUCAACCUUAAUUAGAAGUGAGAUAAAGAUAAGGAUGACAUAUGUCAUGAAGAGAGAGAAUUUGAUCUUAUCCAAUUCUUUUCAUGAAUUUAU
RNAcentral lists this long non-coding RNA (293 nucleotides) under Phoenix dactylifera (date palm). Its description in RNAcentral is "long non-coding RNA (PDAC_LNC021055)". Lineage: Eukaryota; Viridiplantae; Streptophyta; Magnoliopsida; Arecales; Arecaceae. The record is from RNAcentral.